RNAcentral lists this ribosomal RNA (253 nucleotides) under uncultured bacterium. Its description in RNAcentral is "partial 16S ribosomal RNA". It matches the Rfam family "Bacterial small subunit ribosomal RNA", at positions 524 to 776 of the family's 1533-position model. The record is from RNAcentral.
GACAGAGGAUGCAAGCGUUAUCCGGAAUGAUUGGGCGUAAAGCGUCUGUAGGUGGCUUUUUAAGUUCGCCGUCAAAUCCCAGGGCUCAACCCUGGACAGGUGGUGGAAACUACCAAGCUAGAGUACGGUAGGGGCAGAGGGAAUUUCCGGUGGAGCGAUGAAAUGCGUAGAGAUCGGAAGGAACACCCAAGGCGAAAGCACUCUGCUGGGCCGACACUGACACUGAGAGACGAAAGCUAGGGGAGCAAACAGG